UGGGGAAUUUUGGACAAUGGGGGCAACCCUGAUCCAGCCAUGCCGCGUGUGUGAAGAAGGCCUUCGGUUGUAAAGCACUUUCGGCCGGAACGAAAUCGCGCGAGUUAACACCCCGCCGUGGAUGACGGUACCGGAAGAAGAAGCACCGGCUAACUACGUGCCAGCAGCCGCGGUAAUACGUAGGGUGCGAGCGUUAAUCGGAAUUACUGGGCGUAAAGUGUGCGCAGGUGGCCGCGCAUGUCGAGUGUGAAAUCCCCGGGCUUAACUUGGGAAUUGCGCUCGAAACUACGUGGCUAGAGUGUGGCAGAGGGAGGUGGAAUUCCACGUGUAGCGGUGAAAUGCGUAGAGAUGUGGGAGGAACACCAAUGGCGAAGGCAGCCUCCUGGGCCAACACUGACACUCAUGCACGAAAGCGUGGGGAGCAAACAGGAUUAGAUACCCUGGUAGUCCACGCCCUAAACGAUGAUGACUAGUUGUUGGAGGAGUUAAAUCCUUUAGUAAC
Molecule: ribosomal RNA, 502 nt
Filed under: uncultured Pseudomonadota bacterium
Lineage: Bacteria; Pseudomonadati; Pseudomonadota
Description: bacterial SSU rRNA
Rfam family: Bacterial small subunit ribosomal RNA
Source: RNAcentral